GCGGGGGUUGCCAAGCAUGGCCAACGGCGCAGGACCCUCAACCCUGUCUCUUAGGGGUUCGUGGGUUCAAAUCCCACCCCCCGCA
Molecule: transfer RNA, 85 nt
Filed under: Nitrososphaerota archaeon
Lineage: Archaea; Thermoproteati; Nitrososphaerota
Description: Thaumarchaeota archaeon tRNA-Glu
Rfam family: tRNA
About the family: Transfer RNA (tRNA) molecules are approximately 80 nucleotides in length. Their secondary structure includes four short double-helical elements and three loops (D, anti-codon, and T loops).
Source: RNAcentral